CAGUAGCCGCGGUAAUACGAAGGGGGCUAGCGUUGUUCGGAAUGACUGGGCGUAAAGCGCGCGCAGGCGGCUCGAUAAGUCUGCUGUGAAAGUCCAGGGCUCAACCCUGGAAUGCCGGUGGAAACUGUCGAGCUCGAGUCCGGAAGAGGCAAGUGGGAUUCCUGGUGUAGCGGUGAAAUGCGUAGAUAUCGGAAGGAACACCUGUGGCGAAAGCGGCUCACUGGACAAUAACUGACGCUGAUGCACGAAAGCUAGGGGAGCAAACAGGAUUAGAUACCCGCGUAGUCCCUGUCUCUUAUAC
Molecule: ribosomal RNA, 301 nt
Filed under: uncultured bacterium
Lineage: Bacteria
Description: partial 16S ribosomal RNA
Rfam family: Bacterial small subunit ribosomal RNA
Source: RNAcentral